This 497-nucleotide ribosomal RNA is filed under the name uncultured bacterium. RNAcentral's name for it is "partial 16S ribosomal RNA". It matches the Rfam family "Bacterial small subunit ribosomal RNA", at positions 28 to 507 of the family's 1533-position model. The record is from RNAcentral.
GACGAACGCUGGCGGCGUGCCUAAUACAUGCAAGUUGAGCGCUGAAGGUUGGUACUUGUACCAACUGGAUGAGCAGCGAACGGGUGAGUAACGCGUGGGGAAUCUGCCUUUGAGCGGGGGACAACAUUUGGAAACGAAUGCUAAUACCGCAUAAAAACUUUAAACACAAGUUUUAAGUUUGAAAGAUGCAAUUGCAUCACUCAAAGAUGAUCCCGCGUUGUAUUAGCUAGUUGGUGAGGUAAAGGCUCACCAAGGCGAUGAUACAUAGCCGACCUGAGAGGGUGAUCGGCCACAUUGGGACUGAGACACGGCCCAAACUCCUACGGGAGGCAGCAGUAGGGAAUCUUCGGUAAUGGACGAAAGUCUGACCGAGCAACGCCGCGUGAGUGAAGAAGGUUUUCGGAUCGUAAAACUCUGUUGGUAGAGAAGAACGUUGGUGAGAGUGGAAAGCUCAUCAAGUGACGGUAACUACCCAGAAAGGGACGGCUAACUACGUG